RNAcentral lists this unclassified non-coding RNA (264 nucleotides) under Hevea brasiliensis (rubber tree). Lineage: Eukaryota; Viridiplantae; Streptophyta; Magnoliopsida; Malpighiales; Euphorbiaceae. The record is from RNAcentral.
AAGAAAGUAGAUUUUUGUUGAGAGUGUUGAUUUUUAGAAUAAGCAGGCCCAUUAGACAGGCCCAACCCAUACUCUUGCUGCCCUCUUCCUCCUCCCUCUUUAGAUUCCUUGGUCGGCAUAGUCAUCUAAAGCUCUUUCAAUGGCCUUGGCCAAUGUCAUAGUGUGAAACAAGUCUGGUGUUUCUUGGGGCAAAAUUCUUACUCGUAUCUCUGUUUUUAACCCAUUGAGAAAGUAUCCCAAGUAAUAUUGGUCGGUAAUACCUGG